RNAcentral lists this ribosomal RNA (253 nucleotides) under uncultured bacterium. Its description in RNAcentral is "partial 16S ribosomal RNA". It matches the Rfam family "Bacterial small subunit ribosomal RNA", at positions 524 to 776 of the family's 1533-position model. The record is from RNAcentral.
CACGUAGGAGCCAAGCGUUAUCCGAAUUCACUGGGCGUAAAGCGCGUGCAGGCGGCUCGGUAAGUUGGAUGUGAAAGCUCCUGGCUCAACUGGGAGAGGACGUUCAAUACUGUCGGGCUAGAGGACUGCAGAGGGAGGUGGAAUUCCCGGUGUAGUGGUGAAAUGCGUAGAUAUCGGGAGGAACACCAGUGGCGAAGGCGGCCUUCUGGGCCGUACCUGACGCUCAGACGCGAAAGCUAGGGGAGCGAACGGG